GCCCAGGCGUGGGUCUCCGCCAUGGGCCUGCGCCGCCUCGGGACCGGGGUCAGGGAGCUCCUGCCUGCCUGGAUGAAGAGGAGGUCAAGACUUUGUCCCCCACUCCGCAAGAUACCCUCUCUGUUCCGGAGCGGUGGGUCCCUCCCCUGUUAGGACCUUGUCUCCCUCAGGACUGGACCUGGAUCCUGGGCCUGCAGUCAGAUUGCCAGUUUCACUUAGAGGUGGAAAUGUCAACCCACUGGUUGGAAUGGGAAGGUAGGGUGUGGGGUCGGGGAGUACCUUCAUUUCUAUCUGCCCAGGAGGCCAGCCGCUUCCUGCAUAGCAUUUCCUUCCUGCAGUAUGGGAAGGACCAGGCUUUCUCAGACCACAGAAUCUUGAGAGCCAUUUCCACGUGGAGCAAGUGGUGGCUACCAGCCUUGGGUCUACAUAACUAGGGCCUCAUCCCUGGCCCAAGAAUCCUGCUCCACAGCCUUCUUGUGUCCCUGUAGGAGGAGAAACACCUGGCAACUUAAAUUUUUUAAAAUAACUUUUUUUUUUUUUUGAGACGGAGUCUCGCUCUGUCUCCCAGGCUGGAGUGCAGUGGUGCGAUCUCGGCUCACUGCAAGCUCCGCCUCCCAGGUUCAUGCCAUUCUCCUGCCUCAGCCUCCCAAGUAGCUGGGACUACAGGCACCUGCCAUCACGCACGGCUAAUUUUUUUGUAUUUUUUUAGGUGAGACAGGAUUUCACCAUGUUAGCCAGGAUGGUCUUGAUCUCCUGACCUCAUGAUCUGCCCACCUCGGCCUCCCAAAGUGCUGGGCUUACAGGCGUGAGCCACCGUGCCCGGCCAAAAAUAACUUUUAAAAACAUGAGUAUAGCAUACACACACACAAAAGUCCACAAAUCCUAGGUGUACCACUUGAUGAAUGAUCCCAACGUGAGCACACCUCUGGAUUACCACCUGGAUCAAGAAAUAGGACAUCACAGCAGCUGGCAGCUUCCAAGGAGAAGCUCUGGAAAGUUCUGCCUGUCUCAGCACCUGGCUGGAUCGGAAACGAGUUUUCUUUAACCAGAUUUUUAAUGACUGACUUAUGUGGACAAAUCAUAACUGAAUGAAUCACCUCCUUUGUUGAUUUUUUUGGGUACUUUAUUUGCUAUUAUAAAUGAUGCUGUAAUAAGCACCCUUGAAGAAAUCUUCAUAUCUGCCUCUCCUGUGUAGCAGGUCACAGUGCCUGGGUUUGGUUCUAGCCCUCAUUUGUGAACUGUGUGACUCACCAUGCCUUUUUUCUUUCUGUAAGACAGGAAUAAUGGUAAGAAUUUAAAUGGGGGUAAUAUGGAGCGCGUUUAGUUCAGAGCCUGGUGCAUACAAGCACUCAAUAAGUACUGGCGAUUAUUAGACCUUUAGAUUAAUUUAUUAGAAGUUGGAUUUCUGGUGAAAGGGUUUGAGUGUUUUUGAGGCUUUGGCACAGAAUACCCAGCUGGUCCCAGAAAGGUGGUUCCCAUUUACCUGCCCGAAGGUAAUUCACCCUUACUGAUACUGAGUACUGUUUUCUAAAAGAACAUUAAAAAUUGGAUAGGUUAAAAACAGGUGAAUACAUUUUUUUAGUUGCAUUUUUUUGGUUACCCGUGAGAGUGAACAUGUUGCCAUGUGUUUGCUGACCUCCUAAAUGGUCUAUUUGCUCCUACCUUUGUACCCCAAAAGUCUGCUCUCAAGAUGGUAGCCAGAAUGAUCCUUUUUGAGACAUAAGUCAAAAUUUCACUCUUCUCCUUAAAGCUCUGCAAUGGUUCUCAGGUUAAAAGCCAAAGUCCUGUUCAAGGCCUCCAGGGUCCUCACCACUUGGUCCCUUGCUCUUUCUGUUCUAGCCAACUUGGCCUUCUCCUGCCCCUCCGCCGCACCAUGGCAAUUUCCCCUGCUCUGUGUGGUCAACUACCUGAAUCUGUUCAAAGCUUUGCUCAAAUGUCUCCUUCCUGAUGAGACCUCCCCAGCCCCUGAGCUCCCCAUGCCUCACUCCUGAUCGCCUUACUUAACCCUUCUUUUUCUUUUUUGCCAGUAGUACUUAUCACCGUCUAAAAUACUUCAUAAUUUACUUGUUUAUUGUUUGCCCCUCUCCAAUAGAAUGUAAGCUCCUUGGGGCAGGGACCUUUGUCCUUUGUCUUGUUCACUGCUGUGUCCCAUGUGUAAACUUGUCUGGCACAGAAGAGGUGCUCGAUAAAUAUUUGUUGAGUGAAUGAAUGGUAAAUUUUCUGUUCAUAUUCUUUGACUAUUUUCUAUUGUAAUGUUCAUCUUUUUAGUAUUGGUUUAUAAGAUGUAUAUUUAGCACCUUUUCAUAUAUCACUCUUUGUCACAUAUUAUGCAACUAAUUUGUCAUUUCCAUCAAUUUUUAAAAUACUUUCUUGAUGCUUCAUUUUUAAGCUGUCAGAUUAUUAAUCUUUUCUUUAUGGUCUUGGACUUUAUUGUUGCAUAACCGCUGCCUUCACCAGGAACAUAUAAAUUUUCAAUUAAAUGUUCUUCUGAGAUUUUAUGAUUUCACUUUUUAUAUUAAACUCUUCAUUUUGUCUUCAUGUGUGGUGAGAGGUAAGAACAUAACUUUAAAGCAAAUUAACCAACUAUCCCCAAAUGAAUUAUAAAUAAAUUAAUCAUUUUCCAAUGAUCUGAAAGGCCAUUUUAUCAUACACUAAAUAUUUUUGUGUGUUUGACUGGGUUUACCGUUCUGUUCCGUUGGCCUAUCACAUCGUUCUUACAUUGGUAUUUGUUGCCCUAUUUUAAUGAUUGUAACUUUUUAAUAAGGGUUAAUGACUGAGAAUACAAGUCCCAUUGUUUUGUUUUAUUAUUUUUAUUAUUUUUUUGAGACAGGGUUUCACUCUGUCACCCAGGCUGGAGUAUAGUAGCACUAUCUCGGCUCAUUGCAACCUCUGCCUCCCUGGUUCAAGUGAUUCUCCCACCUCAACCUCCCGAGUAGCUGGGACUACAGAUGCAUGCCACCACACCCAGCUAAUUCUUGUAUUUUUAGUAGAGACAGGGUUUCACCAUGUUGACCAGGCUGGUCUUGAACUCCUGGCUUCAAGUGAUUCACCUGCCUCGACCUCCCAAAGUGCUGGGAUUACAGGCGUGACUCACCACGCCUGGCCCAUUUUUUUCUUUUGAGGUGUUCUUUGUGGCAAUUCAUAUAUUCUUUAAGAUAAAUUCUAAACUUUUUUUUUCUGCCGAGAUAAACUAGCAGACAAAUCCCACUGGACAUUGCAAUUGGAUUAGUUUUGUAGAUUAAUUUAGUGAUAAUCAACUUCUUUGCACCAUUGAGUGCUUCUGUCCGGGAACGUGGCAUAUCUUUCUAUUAUUAAGGUCUUUUUUAUUAUAGGUCUUUAGGGAAGCUUUAUUUUAUAGAUGAAUGUAGUGUGUUUGGUGCUUAUUUUCAUAAAAUAAAGCAAUGACAUCUGUGGCAGGCAGCUUCUGAAAUGGCUCCCAAUGAUCCUUACCUUCUGAUAGUCACCCCCUUGGAGAAUCCCUUUCCUUUGUGUGUGGGCUGGAUCUAGUGACUUGCUUCUCAUAAAUAGAAUAUGGCAAAAAAUGAUGGGUUGUUACUUCUGAGAUUAGGUUAUAAGAGGCGAAUUUCUGUUUUGCUGUAAUUUUGUCUCUCUAACCCUCUUGCUUUCCUGUGCUCAUGAAACCAGCUGCUGUGUUGUGAGCCACCUUAUGGAAAACCCAUGUGGCAGAGAACCGAGGGUGGUGGCUGGCCAACAGCAAGCCAGGAGCUGAGGCCCACAGUCCAACAACUGAGACUGGGUCCCACCAUAUUGCCUGGGCUGGCCUCGGACUCUUGACCCCAAGUGAUCCUCUGGCCUCAGCCUCCCAAGCAGCUGGAUUUACAGGCAGGCACCACCGCACCGAGCUAAAAACGCCUGGCUUCCCUGGGCCUGCUGCACCUGCUCUGGCUAGGUUGGAGAGGGCUGCAGGGAGGACCGCAGUCAGCAGAGGGCGCCAAAGCCUCUCAACACAAGCAUGGCCCAGGCCUGGCCCAGAAGGAGAGCGCUGAGAGCCAGGACUGGCGGGCUACGUGCGCCCUGUGGAUUCCCCCAUUUCCCAUGCUUCAUCCAGCCAUGGGCCUGCAGUGCACUCACAAAUGUGCAUAUACCCUCCUGUGUGUGUGUUACACUCAUCAAAUUGUCUCUGAAUUUGCUUGGCUUCAUGUGUUCCUGUGUGUGUUUAUGUGUGUGUGUGGUGUGUCUGGUGUAUCUGGUUCCCCAGGAAGCACAUUUGACAGCCCCACAGUCAGGGUCAGGGCACAGGGACAGAUACUGUGUCUAUAACAAUCCAUAACACUGAUUUUGUUCAUCUCAAUAAAUGUGAGAAUGAAAUAAAAAUUAAUGUAGAAUAUUUUGUACAUCUCAAUAAAGCCACUUUCUGGGGGCAGGCAUUAUAAUUCUAGCCUCUGUUCUACUGUUUGAUAGGUAAAGAAUAACUUUCCACAUAGGGAGAGGAAUGGACAGCUACCCAGCCCUCCCACUGUUACAGGCCUGGGCUAGAAGCUUUCCAUCUAGGCUCCUGGUUG
RNAcentral lists this long non-coding RNA (4523 nucleotides) under Homo sapiens (human). RNAcentral describes it as "HSALNT0222582". Lineage: Eukaryota; Metazoa; Chordata; Mammalia; Primates; Hominidae. The record is from RNAcentral.